AAUAGAUACCCGUAGUCCUAGCCGUAAACGAUGAGCACUGGGUAGGGGGCCCGCCCAUGGGCUCCCGUGCCGCAGGGAAACCGUGAAGUGCUCCGCCUGGGGAGUAUGGCCGCAAGGCUGAAACUCAAAGGAAUUGACGGGGGCUCACACAAGCGGUGGAGCAUGUGGCUUAAUUCGAGGCUACGCGAAGAACCUUAUCCUGGGCUUGACAUGCAGGGAUUAGCCGGCGGAAACGUCGGCGACGCCGCAAGGUGGAACCUGUGCAGGUGCUGCAUGGCUGUCGUCAGCUCGUGCCGUGAGGUGUUGGGUUAAGUCCCGUAACGAGCGAAACCCCUGCGACCAGUUGCCAGCGCGUCAUGGCAGGGACUCUGGUCGGACCGCCGGCGUCAAGCCGGAGGAAGGCGGGGACGACGUCAAGUCAUCAUGGCCCUUAUGCCCAGGGCUGCACACGUGCUACAAUGGGGUGGACAAAGCGUCGCCAGGCCGCAAGGCCGAGCCAAUCGCAAAAACCAUCCCUCAGUUCGGAUU
This 528-nucleotide ribosomal RNA is filed under the name uncultured bacterium. Its description in RNAcentral is "bacterial SSU rRNA". It matches the Rfam family "Bacterial small subunit ribosomal RNA", at positions 777 to 1299 of the family's 1533-position model. The record is from RNAcentral.